Molecule: regulatory RNA element, 101 nt
Organism: Acinetobacter populi
Lineage: Bacteria; Pseudomonadati; Pseudomonadota; Gammaproteobacteria; Moraxellales; Moraxellaceae
Rfam family: Guanidine-I riboswitch aptamer
About the family: This family represents a conserved RNA structure found upstream of the ykkC and yxkD genes in Bacillus subtilis and related genes in other bacteria. The function of this family is unclear although it has been suggested that it may function to switch on efflux pumps and detoxification systems in response to harmful environmental molecules.
Source: Rfam
CAAAAAGUGAUCUAGGGUUCCGAUGUUGCAAUGAUCAACAUGACUGGACCGAGAGAUGACGGUUCGUAAGAACUACACGGAGGGAUAAAAGCCCGGGAGGU